UUAUAUGGAGAGUUUGAUCCUGGCUCAGGACGAACGCUGGCGGCGUGCCUAAUACAUGCAAGUCGAGCGGACGGAUGGGAGCUUGCUCCCAGACCGUCAGCGGCGGACGGGUGAGUAACACGUGGGCAACCUGCCUGUAAGACUGGGAUAACUCCGGGAAACCGGGGCUAAUACCGGAUAAUUCUUUUCCUCACAUGAGGAAAAGCUGAAAGAUGGCAUCUCGCUAUCACUUACAGAUGGGCCCGCGGCGCAUUAGCUAGUUGGU
Molecule: ribosomal RNA, 265 nt
Filed under: Cytobacillus firmus
Lineage: Bacteria; Bacillati; Bacillota; Bacilli; Caryophanales; Bacillaceae
Description: partial 16S ribosomal RNA
Rfam family: Bacterial small subunit ribosomal RNA
Source: RNAcentral